UGGGAAGUAUAAGUCGUAACAAGGUCUCCGUUGGUGAACCAGCGGAGGGAUCAUUAUCGAGUUACCGCUCUUCAACCCUUUGUGAACAUACCCAACUGUUGCUUCGGCGGGUCGGGGCGCCCUCCCGGGGGCGCCCCCCAGGCCCGGCCCCUCUCGGGGCCGAGCGCCCGCCGGAGGAUCACCCAACUCUAUUUUAACGACGUUUCUUCUGAGUGGCACAAGCAAAUAAUUAAAACUUUUAACAACGGAUCUCUUGGUUCUGGCAUCGAUGAAGAACGCAGCGAAAUGCGAUAAGUAAUGUGAAUUGCAGAAUUCAGUGAAUCAUCGAAUCUUUGAACGCACAUUGCGCCCGCCAGCAUUCUGGCGGGCAUGCCUGUUCGAGCGUCAUUUCAACCCUCAAGCCCGGCUUGGUGUUGGGGCACUACGGUCGACGUAGGCCCUUAAAGGUAGUGGCGGACCCUCCCGGAGCCUCCUUUGCGUAGUAACUAACGUCUCGCAUCGGGAUCCGGAGGGACUCCUGCCGUAAAACCCCCACACUUUUUCUGGUUGACCUCGGAUCAGGUAGGAAUACCCGCUGAACUUAAGCAUAUCAAUAAGCCAGAGGAC
This 606-nucleotide small RNA is filed under the name Colletotrichum falcatum. RNAcentral describes it as "eukaryotic LSU rRNA". The stretch from base 234 to 387 matches the Rfam family "5.8S ribosomal RNA". The record is from RNAcentral. Lineage: Eukaryota; Fungi; Ascomycota; Sordariomycetes; Glomerellales; Glomerellaceae.